RNAcentral lists this ribosomal RNA (713 nucleotides) under Vibrio sp. 14E11. RNAcentral describes it as "bacterial SSU rRNA". It matches the Rfam family "Bacterial small subunit ribosomal RNA", at positions 33 to 735 of the family's 1533-position model. The record is from RNAcentral. Lineage: Bacteria; Pseudomonadati; Pseudomonadota; Gammaproteobacteria; Vibrionales; Vibrionaceae.
ACGCUGGCGGCAGGCCUAACACAUGCAAGUCGAGCGGUAACAGGAAUUAGCUUGCUAAUUUGCUGACGAGCGGCGGACGGGUGAGUAAUGCCUGGGAAUAUGCCUUGAUGUGGGGGAUAACUAUUGGAAACGAUAGCUAAUACCGCAUAAUGCCUACGGGCCAAAGAGGGGGAUCUUCGGACCUCUCGCGUCAAGAUUAGCCCAGGUGGGAUUAGCUAGUUGGUGGGGUAAUGGCUCACCAAGGCGACGAUCCCUAGCUGGUUUGAGAGGAUGAUCAGCCACACUGGAACUGAGACACGGUCCAGACUCCUACGGGAGGCAGCAGUGGGGAAUAUUGCACAAUGGGGGAAACCCUGAUGCAGCCAUGCCGCGUGUAUGAAGAAGGCCUUCGGGUUGUAAAGUACUUUCAGUUGUGAGGAAGGCGGUAACGUUAAUAGCGUURCCGUUUGACGUUAGCAACAGAAGAAGCACCGGCUAACUCCGUGCCAGCAGCCGCGGUAAUACGGAGGGUGCGAGCGUUAAUCGGAAUUACUGGGCGUAAAGCGCAUGCAGGCGGUCUGUUAAGCAAGAUGUGAAAGCCCGGGGCUCAACCUCGGAACAGCAUUUUGAACUGGCAGACUAGAGUCUUGUAGAGGGGGGUAGAAUUUCAGGUGUAGCGGUGAAAUGCGUAGAGAUCUGAAGGAAUACCGGUGGCGAAGGCGGCCCCCUGGACA